GAUGAAGAACGUAGCGAAAUGCGAUAAGUAAUGUGAAUUGCAGAAUCCAGUGAAUCAUCGAAUCUUUGAACGCACAUUGCGCCCGCCAGCAUUCUGGCGGGCAUGCCUGUUCGAGCGUCAUUUCAACCCUCGACCUCCCUUUGGGGAAGUCGGCGUUGGGGACCGGCAGCACACCGCCGGCCCUGAAAUGGAGUGGCGGCCCGUCCGCGGCGACCUCUGCGUAGUAAACCAACUCGCACCGGAACCCNNACGUGGCCACGCCGUAAAACACCCAACUUCUGAACGUUGACCUCGAAUCAGGUAGGACUACCCGCUGAACUUAAGCAUAUCAAUAAGCGGAGGA
This 343-nucleotide unclassified non-coding RNA is filed under the name soil metagenome. Its description in RNAcentral is "partial contains 5.8S ribosomal RNA, internal transcribed spacer 2, and large subunit ribosomal RNA". The stretch from base 1 to 120 matches the Rfam family "5.8S ribosomal RNA", at positions 35 to 154 of the family's 154-position model. The record is from RNAcentral.